GCAUAUCAAUAAGCGGAGGAAAAGAAAAUAACCAUGAUUGCCUUAGUAACGGCGAGUGAAGAGGCAAAAGCUCAAGUUUGGAAGCUCAAUGGUUUAACCAUUGCGCAUUGUAAACUGAAAACAGGAUCAAUCAGGUACACCGGGUGAUAAGUUCCUUGGAAUAGGACAUCAUGGAGGGUGAGAAUCCCGUCUUUGACCCGAGUCUUAGUAUCUUUUGUAUUGGCCUGUUCAAGAGUCAGGUUGUUUGGGAAUGCAGCCUAAAGCUGGAGGUAAAUCCCUCCUGAAGCUAAAUAAUGGCGAGAGACCGAUAGCGAACAAGUACCGUGAGGGAAAGAUGAAAAGAACUCUGAAGAGAGAGUUAAACAGUACGUGAAAUUGCUUAAAGGGAAGCAUAUAAAGCUAGGAUGCGAUUGUUUUCUUCAGGUUGAGCUUUGGCUUGACUGUUCAGAAGGAUAAUCCAAGACAACAAGAAUUGGAGGAGGAGAAUAAGCCAUUGGGGAAGGUAAUCCUUCGGGAUGUUUAUAGACCUGAUGGUUCGCGCUCUUCUUUCGAUUGAGGUACGCUUUUUUUUUAAAGGUUGUUGUCUGAAUGGCUUUAUAUGGCCCGUCUUGAAACACGGACCAAGGAGUCCACCUAAUGUGCGAGUAUUUGGGAGGUAAACCCAUAUGCGCAAUGAAAGUGAUUUUACCUAUGAGGGGGUCUCUCGGGGCCUCUGCAAUAGGAUCGGGCAGGGACGUUUUAUACUGAACUGACUCAGAUAAAGCACAUUGGAUGGGACCCGAAAGAUGGUGAACUAUGCUUGGAUAGGGUGAAGCCAAAGGAAACUUUGGUGGAGGCUCGUAGCGAUUCUGACGUGCAAAUCGAUCGUCGAAUCUGAGCAUAGGGGCGAAAGACUAAUCGAACCAUCUAGUAGCUGGUUCCUGCGA
This 926-nucleotide ribosomal RNA is filed under the name Syncephalastrum racemosum. RNAcentral's name for it is "LSU rRNA". It matches the Rfam family "Eukaryotic large subunit ribosomal RNA", at positions 38 to 963 of the family's 3401-position model. Lineage: Eukaryota; Fungi; Mucoromycota; Mucoromycetes; Mucorales; Syncephalastraceae. The record is from RNAcentral.